UGGGAAUUUGGCUUGCAGUCGAGCGAGGACAGUUUUGUAGCAAUACAAAACUGAGCCGAGCGGCGUUAAGGGGCAGUAAUGCGUGGGCAACGUACCCCCGGGUUCCGGAUAGCCAGCCGAAAGGCUGGGUAAUACGGAGCGACGUCGCGAGGAGACAUCUUCUUGCGACCAAAGAUUUAUCGCCCGGGGAGCGGCUCACGUCGUAUUAGCUAGUUGGUAGGGUGACGGCCUACCAAGGCGAAGAUGCGUAGCGGGUGUGAGAGCACGACCCGCGCCACUGGCACUGAGACACUGGCCAGACACCUACGGGUGGCUGCAGUCGAGGAUCUUCGGCAAUGGGCGCAAGCCUGACCGAGCGACGCCGCGUGUGGGAUGAAGGCCUUCGGGUUGUAAACCACUGUCGUGGAGGAGGAAAGCCGUCAAACCGGCUUGACCUAUUCCAGGAGGAAGCACGGGCUAAGUUCGUGCCAGCAGCCGCGG
Molecule: ribosomal RNA, 480 nt
Filed under: uncultured Gemmata sp.
Lineage: Bacteria; Pseudomonadati; Planctomycetota; Planctomycetia; Gemmatales; Gemmataceae
Description: bacterial SSU rRNA
Rfam family: Bacterial small subunit ribosomal RNA
Source: RNAcentral